Molecule: non-coding RNA, 97 nt
Organism: Mycena polygramma
Lineage: Eukaryota; Fungi; Basidiomycota; Agaricomycetes; Agaricales; Mycenaceae
Source: the annotation of a GenBank genome assembly
GCGGGUGUGGUGUAUGGUACACAGCAGCGCCGCCUAAGAGGCCGUCGGUCAUUGUGACUUUGCGCAGCAGAACCGGGUUCGAUUCCCGGCACCCGCA